CGUCGAAUGGCGAACGGGUGAGUAACACGUGGGUGAUCUGCCUUGCACUUCGGGAUAAGCUUGGGAAACUGGGUCUAAUACCGGAUAGGACAGCUGUUUAGUGUCAGUUGUGGAAAGUUUUUUCGGUGCAAGAUGAGCUCGCGGCCUAUCAGCUCGUUGGUGGGGUAAUGGCCUACCAAGGCGUCGACGGGUAGCCGGCCUGAGAGGGUGGACGGCCACAUUGGGACUGAGAUACGGCCCAG
RNAcentral lists this ribosomal RNA (242 nucleotides) under uncultured Actinomycetales bacterium. RNAcentral describes it as "partial 16S ribosomal RNA". It matches the Rfam family "Bacterial small subunit ribosomal RNA", at positions 89 to 334 of the family's 1533-position model. The record is from RNAcentral. Lineage: Bacteria; Bacillati; Actinomycetota; Actinomycetes; Actinomycetales.